AUGUUUCUGCUGGCUCAUUUAGACUGCUUCUCCUCACAUUCCUCUCAGCUGAUGAGGUGCCCCUCUAUGUUACAAGGAAUUCCUUUUACAUCACAGUGGUACAGCUGGUUAAAAACACCAUCUGUUCUCAUAAAUGCCUGGACUGUGUUUAGCCACACUGUACAAAACUUGAGAAUAGCUACUGAAAGCUGGAGACGAACCCUUACAGUACACUGGGUGACAUGUGAACACAUCCAACAGUUAAGUGAAGGACCAAAUACUAUAAAAAGUCAAGGAGACUUGGAUUUGGGACACUUAAAUGACAUCUGGAUUAAAUUGCUUCAACAUAAGAUACACACCCCGAAACAACUAGUGCCUGAGAAGAGACAGUAGCAGUACAGAGGGAAAAGAACUACGAACAAUCAGUGGUAACAUCACUUAAGAAGUGCUUAUUAUUUGCUUUUAAGAGAUGAUGGUUUCUUCCUUCAUAAGAAAGGAUAAAAGUUGGCAUGUGCGUUCGCAUACAGCAGUCUUGAAUACAAGUCCUGCUACAGAUAAUCUUUGUCCCCUAACACAAUUAACAAAUACGUAGGAAAUCCUGCAUUCCCAGAAUCUUUUGAUAACAGCUGACUGAUAAGACGCUUUCUCCUUCAGUUGAAGUGUGUUUAUAGCCUGGAAAGUGGGUCACAAGCUAGUAAGAAACAGCAUGCAAAGGUAAAACUAAAAAUGCUGCUACACAAACUUGAAGAAAGUAGAACACUCACAAUCAAACAGCAGUACUCUUUCUGGGUCGUUUUUCAGGUAAAAGGGAGAUACAAUUACAGUUGUGAAAAUACAUUCUAAGGAAUGAUGACCCCAAUCAGUAGAUCAGUGCCUUCUAAGUUAUACUAGGCACAGUAAUUGCACUGUCACCAGCCUGUAACUACUGUGCUUUCAUUUUAUUUUACCACAAAACAAGAAACAGAAAACUCACUAACCUAGAAUAUGCUGCAAGACCCUGUCAAAACCUUUACCUAAAAAGGUCAAUUUUUUUUUUAAUAAUUUCUUAUAAAAAAAUUUUCUUCAUUAAGCCUCUACUUUUCUUCUACUUUUCACAUGCUAUAUUUCACAUGAAAUAGAAAUAGUUUGUUGAGCUAGUAGUAUUUAGAUUGGAGUAAUAAAACUCUGUCCAUUAGGUCCAUGCUAAUAAAUGGUGACUGACUUCAGGAACUGCUUGCUUGUCACUAGUUCAGACACCACUAUACUGCACAAAGUUUUGUCUGUACAUUCUGAUUAACCACUCCUUAAUCCAACAAACUUAAAUAUACUCAGGAUCUAGACUGAUAAAUGAAGACUCAAG
This 1318-nucleotide long non-coding RNA is filed under the name Meleagris gallopavo (turkey). Its description in RNAcentral is "lncRNA (ENSMGAG00000022295.1)". The record is from RNAcentral. Lineage: Eukaryota; Metazoa; Chordata; Aves; Galliformes; Phasianidae.